CUUUCCACUGCCUAAAAACUUCAAUGCUUGAUUUUACUUGCAAUUUCCUCUUCCUGACAUGGAGAAUGUUGGCUUGGAAUGUUCUCUUCCUGACAUGGCAUUAAUGUUGGUGUUGAGAGUCAUAGACACCCAGCAUUCUGGAAUCUUUAGUGUUGAGAGGGCAGGGCCCAGCCCUCAGUCUCAGAGUCACUUUGAAGCUGGUCUGCAUCACAGAGAUGCAGUUUCGCCACGUCACCUAGGCUACACCACCUAUCAUUUCUAACAGUACAACUUGAGACUGUGAGCUGUACUAUAAGCCAGAAGACAGACCAACUCAAACUUAUCUUCCUCUUUAUCCAAACACCAGAGAAGCAAAUAUCCUUGCCUUUGACAGUCGCCGGAGCAGUUCUGAUGGCUGUGCUAUAAAGCUAUGUCCUUGGUUUAAACACAUCAGGAAUAAUUGGAUGCAGUCUUCACAGAAUAAAUCAAGCUCUUUAUUUCUCAACUUUCUUCACCCAGACCUGCUAUUCUGCAAGGCAAAAACAUAACUGCGUGGCUGAUAGCAUCCUUAUACCUCAGGAGCUUUUCCAACAUAGGCCAUCCAGAACCGCCGCUACCAUGGUGCCAGCUGCAGUGGGGAGGCCAGCGGUUGUGGCAGGAGAGGCUGCAGGGGCAGCAAUAACGGUGGUGGGACCCCUGUCCCCCAUGUCUCCAAGGCAGGCAACUGAGCCACCCCCACCUUUGCAUGACCAGGCCCAUAAAAACCCCAGAGUCGGCCAAACUGGAGCAGAGGAUGGAGAGACAAAGGGAGAUGAUGAGAUGACCAGCUGCAGAGAGGAGCUGACCACCCCAGGGUUUCCUGUCUGCUGAGAACCAAGGAGAUGAUAGGACGACCAGCUGCAGGGAGAAACUACCCUCUCUGCUAAGAGCUGGGCACUUGACGGGAUGACCUGCCUAGCAGAGAGGAGAUACCCUCUCUGCUGAGAGCUGAAGAGAUGACUGGGUGACCACCUGCAGAGAGGAACUACCCUCUCUGCUGAGAGCUUGACACUCAUUGGGAAACCCUGCUAUGGAGAGGAGCUGCCCAUUGCAGGUCUCCUCUGAGCUGUUCUAUUGUGCGAUAAAGCUCCUCUGUGUCUUGCUUA
RNAcentral lists this long non-coding RNA (1124 nucleotides) under Homo sapiens (human). RNAcentral's name for it is "HSALNT0365518". The record is from RNAcentral. Lineage: Eukaryota; Metazoa; Chordata; Mammalia; Primates; Hominidae.